RNAcentral lists this ribosomal RNA (301 nucleotides) under uncultured bacterium. RNAcentral's name for it is "partial 16S ribosomal RNA". It matches the Rfam family "Bacterial small subunit ribosomal RNA", at positions 509 to 809 of the family's 1533-position model. The record is from RNAcentral.
CAGCCGCCGCGGGAAUACGAAGGGUGCAAGCGUUAAUCGGAAUUACUGGGCGUAAAGCGUGCGUAGGCGGUGAGUUAAGUCUGCUGUGAAAUCCCCGGGCUCAACCUGGGAAUGGCAGUGGAUACUGGCUCGCUAGAGUGUGUCAGAGGAUGGUGGAAUUCCCGGUGUAGCGGUGAAAUGCGUAGAGAUCGGGAGGAACAUCAGUGGCGAAGGCGGCCAUCUGGGACAACACUGAUGCUGAGGCACGAAAGCGUGGGGAGCAAACAGGAUUAGAUACCCCUGUAGUCCCUGUCUCUUAUAA